Beta vulgaris subsp. vulgaris (sugar beet) is the source of this 733-nucleotide long non-coding RNA. RefSeq lists it as uncharacterized. Lineage: Eukaryota; Viridiplantae; Streptophyta; Magnoliopsida; Caryophyllales; Amaranthaceae. The record is from RefSeq and is a predicted model, not a curated record. The transcript is spliced from 3 exons.
UCCCGUCGCGUGUUGUGCGUGAGUGGUAGUGGUGCGAGACGGAGUUCCGUCGAGGUCUUGGGCGAGUGGUUCGAGGGCUGUGUGCGUAGCCGUGUGUGUGAGUUCGAGAGUUUUUGUGCGAAGAGUGUCGUGGUUCGUGCGAGUGUUGCGCGAAGAGGUUCGAGGGUUGUGCGAGGGUUGUGCGAAGGACGUUCGAGGGUGUCGUGCGAGUGUAGCCGCGCGACAAAGCCGAAGUGGUGCGAAGAGUUGUGCGGUGUUCGAGGGAGUCGUGCGUGUGUUGUUGUGCGUAGGUCGAGAGCGAGCGAAGGGUGCGUCGCUGCUGUGCGCGCCAGCGAACCGAAGAAGGCUCGAGUGGGGCUGUGUGGCGAGCGAAGGCCACCGGAGUUCCGUCGCCGGAAUUUUGUGCCGGCGAAAGUCAGUGGUCCCAAUUUCAUAAGCGGCUCGUUCUAUUAAGUCAGCGAAAAUUCUCCGCUACAAGACUAGGUGAGCUGGUGCUGCUGCAUGACAUCAAGCAUAUGGGGGCUAGACUGUAGUUUGAAGUUAACUUUUGGUUUGAUCAUUAAUGAAUUUUAUAGAACAUUGUUACAUAGUUUGAGUUUGAAUAAAGAGGGUCUACUAUGAUUCCCGAGUUGUAUUUACAUUUUCUAUUCCGCUGCAAUUUGGUUUUGAGACAAUGAAUUUGAGUUACCGUAUUUCUAAUUAUGCCUUGCGUUCCAUCGCGGCGGUAACACUC